CCAUUUAAUAGUAUUCAGAUCUUAAUAAUAAAAAUUGGGAAAUGAGGGAAGAAGUUGUUUUCUGACAUUUCGGCAAGAUUUUCAAAUUUAAUCUCCAAAAACUAAUUCCUUCAAUCAAAAGCUAGCUUUUAAAGUUAGAAGCACCAAAGUUAUAUGCAUCUGAAUAUACAUGAAGCAGGCAUCAAAAUAGAUGGGUGGUGUAAGAAGUAGAAGAGUGCAGAGAGUCAAGCUUGAGAGCUCAGAUUCGAUCAAACUGGAGCCUAGUCCAGCAGGCCAAAUCGUUAAUCGGGUCGGACCUCAUCUUCCUGGUACCGGACCAACUCGACUCGAAAACCAGAUCCCCAUCGACUUCAUAAACUGAAACUUCUCUUUCGCCGAUAUCAGCAUCAUCGUCGGAGUAGAAGAAGA
Prunus avium (sweet cherry) is the source of this 408-nucleotide non-coding RNA. NCBI's taxonomy places the organism in Eukaryota, Viridiplantae, Streptophyta, Magnoliopsida, Rosales, Rosaceae. The record is from RefSeq and is a predicted model, not a curated record.